RNAcentral lists this small RNA (5552 nucleotides) under Pongo abelii (Sumatran orangutan). Its description in RNAcentral is "retained intron". Lineage: Eukaryota; Metazoa; Chordata; Mammalia; Primates; Hominidae. The record is from RNAcentral.
AUACUCCCCGAUUUCCCUUCUCCUAGCACCUGGGCCCCUGGGCUACUGCUGCCCUCUGGCCCAGCCUUGCUAUCUCCCUCCGUCCUGCAGGACAGCCUCUCCCUGGGGCGCUCGGAGCAGCCGCACCCCAUCUGCUCCUUCCAGGAUGACUUCCAGGAGUUUGAGAUGAUUGAUGACAAUGAAGAGGAGGACGAUGAGGACGAGGAAGAGGAGGAGGAGGAGGAGGAGGGAGAUGGGGAAGGCCAGGAGGGAGGAGACCCUGGCUCAGAGGCACCUGCCCCUGGGCCCCUUAUCCCCUCCCCUUCCCUGGAGGAGCCCCACAAGCACCGGCCCACCACGCUCCGUCUGACCACACUGGGGGCCCAGGACUCCCUGAACAACAACGGAGGCUUUGACCUGGUGCGUCCGGCCUCCUGGCAGGAGACAGCGCUAUGCUCACCCGCCCCGGAGGCCCUCAGAGAGCUCCCGGGCCCCCUCCCUGCCACGGACGCAGGGCCCGGCGGGGCGCAGUCGCCAGGGCGCCCGGGUUGCGACUGCGAAGGGAACCGGCCUGCGGAACCCCCGGCGCCAGGGGGGACUUCGCCCUCCUCAGAUCCCGGCAUCGAGGCUGACCUGAGAAGCCGCUCGAGCGGCGGCCGCGGGGGACGUCGGAGCAGCCAGGAGCUGUCCUCGCCCGGCUCCGACUCGGAGGACGCGGGCGGCGCGCGCCUGGGGCGCAUGAUCUCGUCCAUCUCGGAGACGGAGCUGGAGCUGAGCAGCGAUGGCGGAAGCAGCAGCAGCGGCCGCUCCUCGCACCUCACCAACUCCAUCGAGGAGGCCUCGUCGCCCGCCUCGGAGCCGGAGCCCCCGCGCGAACCCCCGCGCCGCCCCGCCUUCCUGCCCGUGGGCCCCGACGACACCAACAGCGAGUACGAGUCGGGGUCGGAGUCGGAGCCGGACCUCAGCGAGGACGCGGACUCGCCCUGGCUGCUCAGCAACCUGGUGAGCCGCAUGAUCUCCGAGGGCUCCUCGCCCAUCCGCUGCCCCGGCCAGUGCCUGUCUCCUGCGCCGCGCCCGCUCGGGGAGCCCGUGUCGCCGUCCGGCGGGGCGGCCCAGGACUCCCAGGACCCCGAGGCGGCCGCGGGGCCCGGCGGCGUGGAGCUGGUGGACAUGGAGACGCUGUGCGCGCCGCCGCCGCCCGCGCCCGCCGCGCCUCGACCCGGCCCCGCGCAGCCCGGGCCCUGCCUAUUCCUCAGCAACCCCACGCGUGACACCAUCACGCCGCUGUGGGCCGCGCCCGGCCGCGCCGCCCGCCCGGGACGAGCCUGCUCCGCCGCCUGCUCCGAGGAGGAGGACGAAGAGGACGACGAGGAAGAGGAGGAUGCCGAGGACAGUGCGGGGCCCCCCGGGGGCAGGGGCACGGGCCCCUCGGCGCCGCGGGACGCCUCGCUGGUGUACGACGCGGUCAAGUACACGCUGGUGGUGGAUGAGCACACGCAGCUGGAGCUGGUGAGCCUGCGGCGCUGUGCUGGGCUGGGCCACGACAGCGAAGAGGACAGCGGCGGGGAGGCCAGCGAGGAGGAGGCGGGCGCGGCGCUGCUAGGCAGCGGUCAGGUCUCGGGGGACACCUCGCCGGACAGCCCUGACCUCACUUUCUCCAAGAAGUUCCUCAAUGUCUUCGUCAACAGCACAUCUCGGUCCUCCAGCACCGAGUCCUUUGGCCUUUUCUCCUGUCUGGUCAACGGCGAGGAGCGAGAGCAGACUCACCGGGCUGUGUUCAGGUUCAUCCCGCGGCAUCCAGACGAGCUGGAGCUGGAUGUGGAUGACCCUGUGUUGGUGGAGGCCGAGGAGGACGACUUCUGGUUCCGUGGCUUCAACAUGCGCACGGGGGAGCGCGGUGUGUUCCCCGCCUUCUACGCCCACGCGGUGCCCGGCCCUGCCAAGGACCUGCUGGGGAGCAAGCGGAGCCCCUGCUGGGUGGAGCGCUUUGACGUGCAGUUCCUGGGCUCUGUGGAGGUGCCCUGCCACCAGGGCAAUGGCAUCCUGUGUGCAGCCAUGCAGAAGAUUGCCACUGCCCGGAAACUGACCGUCCACCUGCGCCCUCCUGCCUCCUGUGACCUCGAGAUCUCUCUUCGGGGGGUCAAGCUGAGUCUGAGCGGAGGAGGGCCCGAGUUCCAGCGCUGCAGCCAUUUCUUCCAGAUGAAGAACAUCUCCUUCUGUGGCUGCCAUCCCCGCAACAGCUGCUAUUUCGGCUUCAUCACCAAACACCCGCUGCUGAGCCGCUUCGCCUGCCAUGUCUUUGUCUCCCAGGAGUCCAUGAGGCCGGUGGCGCAGAGUGUGGGCCGCGCCUUCCUGGAGUACUACCAAGAGCACCUGGCGUACGCCUGCCCCACGGAGGACAUCUACCUGGAGUAGCCCGCCCACCGCUCUGUCUCCUGGCCGUCUGCUCCAGGCGCAGCUGGGGCUGAGGAUGUCUCAAGAGGCCACGAUGGCUGUGGCAAGGACUGGACUGGGGGGACGUGGGACCUUACGCUUGUGGGGGUCUGCGGGCUGGGAACUCUCGUCCUCGGUCCCCAGGGCGCAGCUGUGGGGGCUGCGGGGGAGUGGAGCCCCCGUGCCCCCGCUUUUCCUCAGAUCCGUUCUUUCUCUGUGUUGUCCUCCUCCUUCCCUCCCCAGUCUCCCUUUUCUCUCUCCUGGUGUCUCUGCCCCUCUCUGUGCCUGCAAACCUUAUCCUCUACUCUUCACUUUGGGGUCAGAACUUCGGGGGUGUGGAGGAGGUGCGGCUCUAGGGACGGGUAAUGUCGGCUUCCAAGUGAUGCCCUCCUGCUACUCCCCUGCGAUUUGUAAGGGAAUUUUAAUUUUUAUAGUGAAUCUCAAGGGAUCAUCCCAUCCUUAACCACAGGGACAAGAGGGGCCCCCUCGCCCCAGCCCCACCCCACAUGGAGCUCAGGGGGAAGCAGGGAGGGGUUCCCAAAAGAGCCCUGCGGAGGCUAGGAGUGGUUCUUGAUGCUCACCUGAAGCCCCUAGACGCUGCUAGGAGGGGGGGCCCCUCCUGGGCCCCCAAUACUCCGCUUGCCGCUGCUAGCGCACCCCUGCAGUCCAGCGUGCAUCCGCCCCACGCACGCCCCGUGCUGUGUUCCUGGGCCCUGCCCAUGGCCUCAAUAAACUCUCUGCUUGGUGUGACAUUGGCUGUUUCUAGGGGGUGCUGAGACACGGGGCCAGGAACCCAGGGGCUGCCCAUUGUGGUAGGGACAGAGUCCCCAGUGGCGGGGGUGUCGUGGGAAUCUCACCCUUUUAGUUCUGUCCGAAAUUGUGCCGGGGUCCCUGCGGUGCUGCUCUGGGGCCUCAUCUGAGGUGCCGUAUCUAGAAGCACCUUUGGGAAUUCUCCCCAGAUACACUCGAGGAAUCCGAGGCUGUGCAAUGGGGUGUCCUUUCCACGUGCACGGACUGGGGGCCAGCAUGGCUCAGGUCAGUGUGUAGUGGGGGCAUGAACUCCUUGAAGAACAAUCUGGCCGGGCGCGGUGGCUCACGCUUGUAAUCCCAACACUUUGGGAGGCCGAGCCGGGCGGAUCACCUGAGGUCAGGAGUUUGAGACCAGCUUGGCCAACAUGGUUGAAACCCUGUCUCCACAAAAAAUACAAAAAUUAGCCAGGUAUCCUGGCGCACACCUGUAAUCCCAGCUACUCAGGAGGCUAAGGCACGAGAAUCACUUGAACCUGGGAGGCGGAGGUUGCAGUGAGCCGAGAUCGCACCGCUGUACUCCAGCCUGGGCGACAGAGGGAGACUCCAUCUCAAAAAGGAGAAGAAAAACAAUCUACUUAGAUCUUAAAAUGGAUAUUUAAAAAAUUCUCCAGAGAAAGCCAGAAGAAAAUAGGUGACUUUUUCACUACGUGCUUAGGUGACUGCAGAUGCCCAGCGAUGUUCCCUCCCAGGCCCUCCUGGGUGAGCCCGUCUCCCAGGCAGGGGUCCCCAUGGCCGGGGUCCCUCUGUCUGAGCCCAGGAUUCGUGCAUCACCAGGAGGACAACAGUUGAAGGUUCCCUAGUGAGCUAAGGGAAGUAUACACAAACUUACUACAUACACAUUAGAAAGUGCUGUCCGUAAAAAACACGUCUCUACAGAGCCAACAAGCAGAGAAAUAGCUGUCCAGCGUUAGGAAGUGCGUCAUGAUCCAGAGGUUCAGCCCGUGUGCAGUGUACAGACCCGAGGCCCCAGAGGGACCAAGGACGCAGACCAGCGGCACGACGGAAACGCAGAACGUGUAUGAGAAAACUUUCCCACUAAUUGAGAUAAAGCUGUAAAGAGGCAGAUGGCCCCACUGGGUGUGUACGUUUGAAACUUGUUCUCCCUGGGCUAGGGCAUUCGGGGUGUGGCCCUCAGUCCCCUGUAGCUGCUGCCUGGAAACCUUUGCCACCCACCCACCUCCUCCCUCUGCUCUUCCACUCAGGUGAGAAUUCUCCAAGCCCUUCCCUCCGGCGCCCCCGUCCCGCCCCUGUCCGGCCCGGCCCCGCCCCCCAACGUGUCUUCAGGUCUCUUUCCCUCCAGCCGGCCCUUAGGACGGCUGUUGGACGUGCUCGUGAGUCCUUCACCUGUCUGCCUGCCACCUCUCUGCAGCUCCUUCUCCAAUCUCAUGGAGAGCUUGGCCGCCCUCCACGCCCCAUCCCGGGCUUGGUCGGUUCUGGGGUGUAUCUCUCUGGCUUCAUCCCUCCCACAGUUUCAAGGGUUUCCCUGUGCUCAGGCCCCUGGCGGCCGCCCCCUGUGCAGACCACUGGGCAGAUCCAGCUGACCUCCAGGGGCACUUCCUCGGCUCAUCACUGGGCCGGUGCUCUGCAGAAUGAGCUGUGAGAGCCACUGUAGCUGGCCAGAGGGUGCCACUCACAGUCACUUCAGACUCACAGGAGCCUUCGCCCCGACCCCUGCAUUCAUCUGUGUUCUGUUUUAUGUGUUUUCCCAGUCACCUGAGCUGCAGGUCUUGGUCACCCCAGACUCCUCCCUCCUGUCACCCUUAUCCUCACCCCAGCACCUUUACGUCUGCCCCUGGCUCCAUUUCCCCCUCCUCUGCCUGGACCAAACCACCCCGACUUUCCUGGAUCUUCGUGCAACAGCUCCGGCCGCUGCCUCACCGCACCUGCAAAUCCACUCUCACCCACACCCAGGCCAGGGUUUUUCAACAGAAGCCUCAGCAGAUCCCUCUCUCUGGCCAGCUCUGAAGCAGGUCCCUGUUGAACCUCAGCAUGACUCGCCCCCACCCCUGCAUCCCACUUCCGCUUUGGGAGCCUCUGGGUUCCUGGGCAUACCUUCUGCCCUUCCCUGUUUGUCACUGGGUGACCUCCCGUUCUUCUGGGCGCUCCCGGGCCCUGGUCUCGGGCCUUCUGAGGACUUGCUUCUGGCUGCUCUCCUAGUAACAGCUGCUGACUGUGAGCCCAGAGAGCAGGCGUGGCUGUUGACCUUAGGUCCUCCCAGAACCUGGCGGAUCGCCUGGCUCGCAGGCAGGAGGCGCUGCAUGAUGCCUCCAACUUCCGCCAAUCUAGCCCAAGGAUGGCAUCCUAAAUAAAACGCGUUCUACAGAAAAGUG